GCUGUGGUGCAAUCUGGAUAGAGCAUGUGUUACCCCAUUGAUUGCCAAAGUUGAUUCAGCCGGUGUCUGGCUUGGCAAGUGUCUCUGUGCUUCCCCCACACCUUCAUGAGACUCCUCGAAGCUAAACUCUCAAUAAAGCAACCUCCCUGGAUAGAGGAGGACCAUUUUCCAGUCAAGGUUAUGUGAAUAACUGCUCUCCCCAACUAGAACCACCAGACUGAAUAGCUGCUCUUCCCAACUAGGACCCCAGACAAGCUAUGGAUAGUCCCGUUUUCACCCUACGUGAAGGCCCUUAUGUGGGCAUGUGUAGAAAAGUCGU
Molecule: non-coding RNA, 319 nt
Organism: Rattus norvegicus (Norway rat)
Lineage: Eukaryota; Metazoa; Chordata; Mammalia; Rodentia; Muridae
Source: Rfam